AAUCAACGCUGGCGGCGUGCCUAACACAUGCAAGUCGAACGCGAAAGCCCCUUCGGGGGUAAGUAGAGUGGCGUCCGGGUGAGUAACACGUAGGUAAUCUACCUUCGGGUGGGGAAUAACCAGUCGAAAGAUUGGCUAAUACCGCAUAAUGCAGCGGCACCUAAUGGUGAUUAGUUGUUAAAGCGGGGGAUCGUAAGACCUCGCGCCUGAAGAGGAGCCUGCGGCAGAUUAGCUAGNGGUGAGGUAAUGGCUCACCAAGGCUUCGAUCUGUAGCUGGUCUGAGAGGACGGCCAGCCACACUGGCACUGACACACGGGCCAGACUCCUACGGGAGGCAGCAGUGGGGAAUUUUGGGCAAUGGGCGAAAGCCUGACCCAGCAACGCCGCGUGAGGGAGGAAAUCCUUCGGGAUGUAAACCUCACAAGCAAGGGAAGAGAGCUCAGGGCCGAAUAAGCUUUGAGUCCGACGGUACCUUGCGUAAGCCACGGCUAACUACGUGCCAGC
This 504-nucleotide ribosomal RNA is filed under the name uncultured bacterium. RNAcentral describes it as "bacterial SSU rRNA". It matches the Rfam family "Bacterial small subunit ribosomal RNA", at positions 32 to 512 of the family's 1533-position model. The record is from RNAcentral.